RNAcentral lists this ribosomal RNA (465 nucleotides) under uncultured bacterium. Its description in RNAcentral is "partial 16S ribosomal RNA". It matches the Rfam family "Bacterial small subunit ribosomal RNA", at positions 338 to 795 of the family's 1533-position model. The record is from RNAcentral.
CCUACGUGAGGCAGCAGUGGGGAAUAUUGCGCAAUGGGCGAAAGCCUGACGCAGCGACGCCGCGUGAGGGAUGAAGGUCUUCGGAUCGUAAACCUCUGUCAGCAGGGAAGAACGGUCACUGUGCUAAUCAGCAGUGAAUUGACGGUACCUGCAAAGGAAGCACCGGCUAACUCCGUGCCAGCAGCCGCGGUAAUACGGAGGGUGCGAGCGUUAAUCGGAAUUACUGGGCGUAAAGCGCUCGUAGGCGGUAUGCCAAGUCAAGGGUGAAAUCCCCGCGCUCAACGUGGGAACUGCCUUUGAAACUGGCAAACUGGAGUGUGUGAGUGGAUAGUGGAAUUCCAGGUGUAGGAGUGAAAUCCGUAGAUAUCUGGAGGAACAUCAGUGGCGAAGGCGACUAUCUGGCACAUAACUGACGCUGAGGAGCGAAAGCGUGGGUAGCAAACAGGAUUAGAUACCCCGGUAGUC